This 497-nucleotide ribosomal RNA is filed under the name uncultured bacterium. RNAcentral describes it as "partial 16S ribosomal RNA". It matches the Rfam family "Bacterial small subunit ribosomal RNA", at positions 28 to 507 of the family's 1533-position model. The record is from RNAcentral.
GAUGAACGCUGGCGGCGUGCCUAAUACAUGCAAGUCGAGCGAACGGACGAGGAGCUUGCUCCUUUGACGUUAGCGGCGGACGGGUGAGUAACACGUGGAUAACCUACCUAUAAGACUGGGAUAACUUCGGGAAACCGGAGCUAAUACCGGAUAAUAUAUUGAACCGCAUGGUUCAAUAGUGAAAGACGGUUUUGCUGUCACUUAUAGAUGGAUCCGCGCCGCAUUAGCUAGUUGGUAAGGUAACGGCUUACCAAGGCAACGAUGCGUAGCCGACCUGAGAGGGUGAUCGGCCACACUGGAACUGAGCCACGGUCCAGACUCCUACGGGAGGCAGCAGUAGGGAAUCUUCCGCAAUGGGCGAAAGCCUGACGGAGCAACGCCGCGUGAGUGAUGAAGGUCUUCGGAUCGUAAAACUCUGUUAUUAGGGAAGAACAAAUGUGUAAGUAACUAUGCACGUCUUGACGGUACCUAAUCAGAAAGCCACGGCUAACUACGUG